This 89-nucleotide ribosomal RNA is filed under the name Xylanibacter ruminicola. Lineage: Bacteria; Pseudomonadati; Bacteroidota; Bacteroidia; Bacteroidales; Prevotellaceae. The record is from RNAcentral.
CCACCUCUUCCCAUUCCGAACAGAGAAGUUAAGCCCACCUGCGCCGAUGGUACUGCAAUGCAAUGCGGGAGAGUAGGAAGCCGCCGUCU